UACGUAGGAGACGAGCGUUGUCCGGAAUUACUGGGCGUAAAGAGCGCGCAGGCGGUCGUUCAAGUCGAGUGUGAAAGCCCCCGGCUCAACUGGGGAGGGUCAUUCGAUACUGAUCGACUCGAAGGCAGGAGAGGGUAGUGGAAUUCCCGGUGUAGUGGUGAAAUGCGUAGAUAUCGGGAGGAACACCAGUGGCGAAGGCGACUACCUGGCCUGUUCUUGACGCUGAGGCGCGAAAGCUAGGGGAGCAAACGGG
Molecule: ribosomal RNA, 253 nt
Filed under: uncultured bacterium
Lineage: Bacteria
Description: partial 16S ribosomal RNA
Rfam family: Bacterial small subunit ribosomal RNA
Source: RNAcentral